RNAcentral lists this ribosomal RNA (52 nucleotides) under Phaeoacremonium minimum. RNAcentral describes it as "partial 28S ribosomal RNA". The record is from RNAcentral. Lineage: Eukaryota; Fungi; Ascomycota; Sordariomycetes; Togniniales; Togniniaceae.
GUUGACCUCGGAUCAGGUAGGAAUACCGCUGAACUUAAGCUAUCAAUAAGCG